Molecule: long non-coding RNA, 2578 nt
Organism: Phyllostomus discolor (pale spear-nosed bat)
Lineage: Eukaryota; Metazoa; Chordata; Mammalia; Chiroptera; Phyllostomidae
Exons: 2
Source: RefSeq, a predicted model, not a curated record
GGUGCUCAAUCUAUUGAGCCACACCAGCCAGGGCUUCUGUUUUCUCUUUUAGCAAUGUUGAUGUAGUAUUGAUUUCUUUCUCCAUCCUGGAUGUCUAAUUGCACACUGGGCUUUUCAACAUCAGUUAGUUCUCUGCUGGCGCCUCUUGUUUGUUCAUAAACAUUGUCUCCACCUGCCGAUUCCAGGUUCUACCUGUGUUUUCUUCUCCAUGGGAAGCUUUCACCUUCAGUGAAUAUUUCUCCAGACACUUGGUCCAGACUUCAGACAUACCCUGGAGAGCUGUAUGAGGCUUUUGUUGCCCGUAUAGUUUUAAGUUUGCAUUUGCUUUUUCUACUUGCAUCUUUCUGGUUUUUGUUUCUGCUACAACAGACAGGUUCUUUCUCACAUUAUAAGAGAUUGGCUUAUCUUAAUCUGAAUAUUGAAGUUUUUCUUUUCCUAGCUGGUUUGCUAUUAAGCAUCAGACGUACCACCAGAUCAUGGGGUUAGGUGUAUGGAGGGCAUCAGGCACUUCCCGCACUCCUUUCAUUUCAGGGUGAAACUGACAAGAGCUUUAAUUGUAUCAGAAUGAGUGCUGAAUUGCUAAGGGUGUGUUUGACACUUAGUGCAUAAUUUUUUUUUCAUUCACUUAAAAAUCCUGCCUAAAACCAAGAGAACUGUUAACCCACAUACUGUCUUGGCAAAUGUGACUAUUUCCCACUGAUGCCUGGGGGAGGGGGACUGGUCUCCAUCGACACACUCCUCUGCACAGAACUCUGCAGCGUCUCCCAGGCCCGCCCACGGUGCAGAUCCCUAGCAGGCAGAAGCCCCUCCGUGGUGCCCAGGCUGCACAGAACCCCCUCUGUUGUCACCAAGUCCUGCUGGGCUCAAUAUGUCCUAGAGAGGACCCUGAGCAAGUUUCUUCCCGGAACCAAGCCUGCAUCUGGCAACCGGGCAGACCAUGAGCGAGAGGGUUGAGAGGGAACGGGCCUGACACGCCAGCCCCAGCCCCGUAGCAGAUGCCCUGAGACCCUCCGUUUUGUCCAGGGCUCUGUCUUUUCUCUACUCAAACCUCUCUUUUGCGGCCCCAGAGGCCUCAGCGCCUGCCCUUCCCUCUGCCUGGAAAGCGCUUCCUCUUGCAGCCCUCCAGAGCCAACGCAAACUCUGUAGCCAUUGGACCUCACCCUCCCUGUGCGCCCAGUGGCCGAGCAGGGCCUGGCACAGACUAGGUCCUCAGCGCCCCGAGAACGUUCGAGGAGAUAACGAAUGAAUGAGUGAACAGAUGAAUGAGGGGGGAAGCCUGCAGAUGAACUCGUAACGCUGCCUCAGCAGCUGGUUCCCUUCGGAGAGCAGAAAACUCUGUUCAGAGCCCCGUGCAGGGCUGUGGAGAGAAGGGGAGGCGGUGGCAGCCCUGCCCGGGGCUCCUCAUUCCCCCUGCCGCUCCCACCCCACCACCGCACCGGGAGACCAGAACAAGUUACCCGACCUUUCUGAGUGUCCUUCCUCAUCCCUCACCUGAGGUUGAGAGGGUUAGCACCAGGGUGGAAGUGGAGCUUGGCGGGUAAGUGAACUUUUUGAUUCCAUUGCCCAAGGCAUUAGCAACUCCUUCCAGGAACUGAGCAUUCCACCCAGGUUUAGCAAGAGCAUGAAGAUAAGAAGAUAAAAUACCUGUUAUAAAUUCAAGAAAAGGAGAUAAAACAUUUUUACUGUUAAAGAAUUGUAUGCUCAGUAAACAGAACAGGCUAAUAAAACCUGCUAGAAUUAAUAAGAGAAUUGAGCAACAUGACUGCAUGUAAGGUAAGCAUAAAAAGCAAGACUGUGAUUUUUAAAGAAAACUUUAGAUUGAGAUACAAAAGCAGCUGCAGACAGUCAGCUCCCCUUUCUGGCGCGCUGGCCCCUGGGGGCCUGGCCAGUGUUGCCUCUGCUCAGGCCUUUUCUCCUUCUCAGCAGGAGCACUCGCUGCCCAAAAGGUGGAGCAAAGCGUCACUCCGUUUUUCUACUCUCAGAAUGAAUACCUGCGAACAAAACUGGGGGUCGACUCACAUCAUAGCAACCAGAAGAAUGAAAUACUUGAGAAUGUACUUAACAAGAAAGGUAUAAAACCUAUAAAAAGAAAAACCACAACAUCUUAUUGAAAGAUAUAAAACAAGACUUGUGUGAAUGAGAAGACAUGUUGUGUUCUUGGAUAGAAAGAUACAACUCCAUAAAAGUGUCAAUUCUAUAAUGACUGUAUAAGUUUACUUUAAUUCCAGCUAGAAUGCUAACAAAUUUCCUCCGCCUUCUUCUUUUUUAGGAAUUGACAGAGAAAGUAUGAAAAAUAAGAACAGGGAGGAGAUUUGUGCUCCAGAAAUCAGAGUAGACUAGAAAGCCGCUGCGGGCAGACACUGCGGGUUUAGCUCCGACACUCAUCCCCUCCUCAUCCUCAGUGAACCCCAGACUCCCGUCUGGGCACAGAGCCAUGUGGAGCAAAGCCCACACCUCCUAGCCCAUCGUCCAGCCGAGCACGGUCAGGUGCAGCUGAGGUGCAGAUGGGAAGGACUCGGGCGCUGCACACUGGGAACUUGUGACUCUUCUUAUACGGAAUUAAAACAUUUGAUCAAAA